Molecule: long non-coding RNA, 1910 nt
Filed under: Mus musculus (house mouse)
Lineage: Eukaryota; Metazoa; Chordata; Mammalia; Rodentia; Muridae
Description: long non-coding RNA chr3:94859528-94861438
Source: RNAcentral
AUCUCUCUAGCUCCUGUAAAGUGCUAGAUUUACAGUUGUAUAUACAUGCACACAUUUUUGUUUGGUUUGUUUUUGAGCCUUGGUCUACUGUUUUCAAGGUUGGCUUCAAACUUGCCAUAGCAACAGGGAUGGCCUUGAAAUGCUCACCAUCCUGCUGUCGUGAUCACAGGCAAGACUGCAAGCCUGGCUUGUGCAGUGCUGAGAUUUGAAACAAAGUCCUUACACAUGCUGGGCAAGCACUCUGCCAACUAUGCUACAUUUCCAGCCUUUUGUAAUGCUUUUGAUAACCAUUAUUUGAGUAACAUGUUAACAAUAGAUUAUAAAAAGGUACGUUGAAAUUUCACUUCUCAGAGCUACAGUGAGCACUGGAUAUAAAUGUGCAUAUACUACCUGUACUUAAGGUGGGUGGAGAGUAUUGGCUGGGUUUGGAGCCAGCCUGGGCUAUAUAACAAGGCGGUCUCAGAAAACAUCUCCAACAAGGCCACAAAUCCCAUUCCUUCUUCAACUGUUCUAUUAACUGCAAGCCAAGCAUUAACAUUGUUAUGCUUAUAGGAGCCAUUCUCACCCGAGCCACCACAUUUGGUAUUUCCUAUAGAAGACUGUCUUGUGUUAUUUGGCAUCAAACUAAAUGAGAACCUUUCUCAAACAGCAACAAAGUAGUUUAGGGCCAGUGAGAUGGUUCAGUGAGCAAGUAAAGGGCACUUGCUGCUAAGCUGGAGAUGCCUCCCACACUCAAGCUCACACACUCAUGCUCACACACUCACACACAUACACACUCACACACAUACACAUACAACCACACACAGAGAUACACACACACACACAUUUAUCAGUAAAUGUAAAAAAAAAGUUUAAAAGAGGAUUAGCUAACAACAAAUUACCUUCUUACAAAAAGAUUUUACUUAAAAUAUGGAAAGUCUUCCCUUUUUGGCUCUGCUGAUUCGGGGGAGAGAAGUAUGUGGUAACUUAGCUCAUUAGUGUGAAGCUAGGAACUGGUGCCUUUCAGCCUUAGGCAAGGCAUGGGUGGGUUAGUGAACUACCCUGACUCACUUGUCUUGUGUUAGCUGUAGAGUUGGGUGACGCUUAAGUUGGAGUGAGUUUGGUGCCGUAAGCUGAGGUGAGUAGUAGCAGUUAAAUGGUUUUGAUAUCUGAGACACUGUUUCUUAGCUGAAAUAAUAAUGUUUCUUAUUAAUACAAAUUUAGCAAUGUUUCUAACAUCCCUUUCUUGUUCUGUUUUCCUUUGUGUUGUCUGCCUUUUACCCUUUAGCUGGUAAUACUUUGGUCCAGCAAGGUGGACAGCCACUCAUCCUCACCCAAAACCCAGCACCAGGUCUGGGAACAAUGGUUACUCAACCAGUAUUGAGACCUGUCCAGGUCAUGCAGAAUGCCAAUCAUGUGACUAGCUCCCCUGUGGCCUCACAACCUAUCUUCAUCACUACCCAGGUGAGUGGGACUUUGAAUUCUAGGCCUGGUAGGGGAGAUAGACUGUGAGCCUCUAGAGGCUUAGCCUUGGACAGGGUCUUCAUCACUGUUAGAGUUCUGUCUGUUGAACUGAGUUUCUCUGGACUGUUUCACGGGAUCCUGCCUAUGAAGUGCCCAGCAUAGCAUCAUGGCUACAUGAUAUUUUCAUACACCUGAGAGGUCUGUUGAGUUGAUUCAAGUCUGAACAGAAAUCAUCAUUGGGAAACUUAAAAUUAGAAAGGCUUCACUCAGGACUAGAGAGCUGGCUUACCCAAGAAGAGCAUUUGUUGUUCUAGCACAGGACCCAGGUUCAAUUCCCAGCACCUAUAUGUCAGCUCACAACUGUGUCUGUAACUUCACUUUCAGAAGACCUGAUACCUUCUGACCUCCAUAGACACCAGGCAUCCCUGUGGUGCGCAUACAUAUGUUCAGGGAAAACACUCAUACGC